RNAcentral lists this transfer RNA (67 nucleotides) under marine eukaryotic metagenome. It matches the Rfam family "tRNA". Rfam says of the family: Transfer RNA (tRNA) molecules are approximately 80 nucleotides in length. Their secondary structure includes four short double-helical elements and three loops (D, anti-codon, and T loops). The record is from RNAcentral.
GAGAAUAGCUCAAUUGGUAGAGUAAUGGUCUUCAAAACCAUCGGUUGCGGGUUCAAGCCCUGCUUCU